This 333-nucleotide non-coding RNA is filed under the name Ricinus communis (castor bean). RNAcentral's name for it is "Eukaryotic large subunit ribosomal RNA". It matches the Rfam family "Eukaryotic large subunit ribosomal RNA", at positions 3065 to 3401 of the family's 3401-position model. Lineage: Eukaryota; Viridiplantae; Streptophyta; Magnoliopsida; Malpighiales; Euphorbiaceae. The record is from Rfam by way of RNAcentral.
UAUCGCGCUUGGUUGAAAGCCAGUGGCGCGAAGCUACCGUGCGCUGGAUUAUGACUGAACGCCUCUAAGUCAGAAUCCGGGCCAGAAGCGACGCGUUGUCCGCCGCUCGUUUGCCGACCAGCAGUAGGGGCCCUCCGGCCCCCAAAGGCACGUGUCGUUGGCUAAGCCCUCGCGGCGGACGAGCCGCGCGGGCCGCCUUGAAUUACAAUUUCCACCGGGCGGCGGACUGAAUCCUUUGCAGACGACUUAAAUACGCGACGGGGUAUUGUAAGUGGCAGAGUGGCCUUGCUGCCACGAUCCACUGAGAUUCAGCCCUUCGUCGCUCCGAUUCGU